This is a transfer RNA of Puccinia graminis f. sp. tritici, 110 nucleotides long. It matches the Rfam family "tRNA". Rfam says of the family: Transfer RNA (tRNA) molecules are approximately 80 nucleotides in length. Their secondary structure includes four short double-helical elements and three loops (D, anti-codon, and T loops). The record is from Rfam. NCBI's taxonomy places the organism in Eukaryota, Fungi, Basidiomycota, Pucciniomycetes, Pucciniales, Pucciniaceae.
GACAACGUGGCCGAGCGGUUAAGGCGAUUGACUAGAAUGUGCCAAUUCUAAGACUCUUGUCUACCAUCAAUUGGGAUUUUCCCGCGUAGGUUCAAAUCCUGCCGUUGUCG